UGUAUUUAAGAUUCAACUGUAAAUUGUUUUCAAUUAUUUUGUAAUAAAAAUGAAGUUUUUCUGUUAGUUUUUGUUUUGAUUGUUUCCAUUUUUGAAUUAUUCAGUGUUGUUCACGUAGAAGUUGUCAUAUAAACAUUUUCGUUCUCCUUAUAACAGCAGUAGAGCAGAUCACUCAAGGCAUGCUGAGGCAGGAAUUCACAUUCAUACUACAUUUGGAAAGUAUCAACAUUUUAUAUUGAAUAUGGACUAGAAGAUACUGAUAAUAAUAAUGGUUUUAUGCAAUAUAUCUUUAAUGACGCCAAUACAGCAGAUCACUUAAGGUAUGCUGAGACAGGAAUUUGCAUUCAUACUACUUUUGGAAAGUAUCAACAUCUAAUGUUGAAAAUGAACUAGGAGAUACUGAUAAUAAUAAUGGUUUUAUGCAUUGUACGUUUAAUGGCAAUUGAAUAUAAUUUAUAGUACGAAUGACAAAAAAUAAUAAGUACGAAAAUCUUUAUAUGACAAUGGAUAAUACUGAAUAAUUCAGAAAUGAAAACAUGAAAACAAAAACUAACAGACAAACUUCAUUUUUGUUACAAAAUACUUGAAAAUAAUUUACUGUUAAAACUUAAAUACAAAUACGAAUGUAAAACUACAAAAUUAUAUGAGAUAUAAAUAUAAUGGAAAAAAUGAUAAGAAAUAAUAAUUAUGAUAAACCAUAAAAAUACUACAAGUACCAGAAUGUAUUGAAGAAUUAAAAUGUAAAAUGAGUUAAACCACAGAAUGCAUUUGUAUAUGAACUGAAAUUUGCUCCUUUUCAAUAUGAAAAAAUUAUGAAAUUGUGUUAUUCGUCAAAAUUAAAUUAUAAAAUCAUGAUUUAGAUUUUAUGAAGUAAAAAUAUCAAGUUAAAUGAAACAUAAUAGUUAAAAAUGAUAAAUUAAAAUCAUAUCCUUAGUCUCGUAGUCAAGGUUCAAGACACUUGUGUUAAUAUCGGCGUAAAAUAAUUAGUUUAUAACAACAAAAAUCUUUAUUAAAUGAACAACAAAUACACAAAUACAGCAAAAGCUGUGUAAAUAACGCUCUGUUACGGUAAGCAGGGACGCGAUCAAUGGCAAACGACCAACUAGUUUUUCCUCAUGGUGGAUCGGCCGUCUUCUUCAGUACGGCGACGCUUACACCCUCUGUCAGUGUUAACGUUUAAUAUUUGUUUGUUUUAUAAGCAAUUAAAAAUAUGGAUUUGUAAUAUAAGUCAAAUUAUCAUAUAAUAUCAUGUUUAACAAUUUUCAUCUAUAAAUAAUUAUAGCAAUUAUUA
Molecule: long non-coding RNA, 1291 nt
Filed under: Rhopalosiphum maidis (corn leaf aphid)
Lineage: Eukaryota; Metazoa; Arthropoda; Insecta; Hemiptera; Aphididae
Description: uncharacterized LOC113558446
Source: RNAcentral